RNAcentral lists this unclassified non-coding RNA (336 nucleotides) under Hevea brasiliensis (rubber tree). Lineage: Eukaryota; Viridiplantae; Streptophyta; Magnoliopsida; Malpighiales; Euphorbiaceae. The record is from RNAcentral.
GCGGCCUGCAGAGAACAAGGAGAGCAAUAACACAAGCCUCUUCAACAUCUCCUCUGCAACCCAAUCCGCAAUGGAGAUGAAGAAGAUCGCUUGUGCCGUGCUCGUCGCCGCCGCUUCGGCCACAGCCGCCAUGGCGGCCGAGAGCCCCGCCCCGGCCCCUGCCAGCGCCGGCUUCGCCGUCACCCCGGCUGUUGGAGCUGCUGUCGGAGCUGCUGUUGUCUCCUUCUUUGCUUUCUACUUGCAGUAGGCCUCGGAGGGGAGAAAGAAUAUAUGUUGAGAUGUUUGUUUGAGCUUUCUUUCUUCUUUUAUCUUUGUUUUUGCUUUGAUUUGAAAACA